GAUGAACGCUGGCGGCGUGCAUAACACAUUCAAGUCGAACGGUGAUGAGGACUUCGGUCCUCUGAUCAGUGGCGGACGGGUGAGUAACGCGUGAGCAACCUGCCCUAUAUUGCGGGAUAACAACCGGAAACAGUUGCUAAUACCGCAUGACGUAUUCGGAUCGCAUGUUCUGAAUACCAAAGAAUUUUGAUAUAGGAUGGGCUCGCGUCCGAUUAGGCAGUUGGUGGGGUAACGGCCCACCAAACCGACGAUCGGUAGCCGAACUGAGAGGUUGAACGGCCACAUUGGAACUGAGAUACGGUCCAGACUCCUACGGGAGGCAGCAGUGGGGAAUAUUGGGCAAUGGGCGAAAGCCUGACCCAGCGACGCCGCGUGAGGGAAGAAGGUCUUCGGAUUGUAAACCUCUUUCAGCAGGGAAGAAGCAAGUGACGGUACCUGCAGAAGAAGUCACGGCUAACUACGUG
This 464-nucleotide ribosomal RNA is filed under the name uncultured bacterium. RNAcentral describes it as "bacterial SSU rRNA". It matches the Rfam family "Bacterial small subunit ribosomal RNA", at positions 28 to 507 of the family's 1533-position model. The record is from RNAcentral.